CCUACGGGAGGCAGCAGUGGGGAAUAUUGGACAAUGGGCGAAAGCCUGAUCCAGCAAUACCGCGUGAAUGAUGAAGGCCUUAGGGUUGUAAAGUUCUUUUAGUUGGAAAGAUAAUGACGGUACCAACAGAAAAAGCCCCGGCUAACUCCGUGCCAGCAGCCGCGGUAAGACGGAGGGGGCUAGCGUUGUUCGGAAUUACUGGGCGUAAAGGGCGCGUAGGCGGAUUAGUAAGUUGGGAGUGAAAGCCCGGGGCUUAACCUCGGAACUGCUUUCAAAACUG
RNAcentral lists this ribosomal RNA (280 nucleotides) under uncultured Pseudomonadota bacterium. RNAcentral's name for it is "uncultured proteobacterium partial 16S ribosomal RNA". It matches the Rfam family "Bacterial small subunit ribosomal RNA", at positions 338 to 635 of the family's 1533-position model. The record is from RNAcentral. Lineage: Bacteria; Pseudomonadati; Pseudomonadota.